UGUUUUUACCCUCUGUUAGCUGGCCCUCAACAGUUUGCUUUUUGUCACUCUGAGAGCAGAGCCUCUGCCUUCUGGCGUGGUGCCCUAUGCAAGGUAUGUGCUCAGUGAAUAUUGCAUUGACUUGAAGGCCCCAAACGUUCCUUUUUAGCCUUGACAUAAUCUACCAAGGCAGCUGGUUUUCUCAGAAUGUGGAUUCGGUUCAUUUGAUGGCUCCCUGGCCUGUGUCUCCAUUUUGCUGUUUAUUGACCAGUGGCUAGAGCUGACUGACAGGCAUGGCUUUUCACAAACAAGUCAUCUGUAAACUCUGAAAAGUGCUUAUGCGCCAGCAACUGUGGGCUCCUGUGGGUCUCAUCACGGGGUGUGCUCUUACGUGUGUGUGCGUGUGUGUGUGUGUGUGUGUGUGUGUGUGUGUGUGGAGGGUUCCUGCAGGAAAAGAUCUGAGGGAAAUAGCUCUCAGCUCACAGAAGGCAGUGCUUAAUUACCGUCAAUUUGCAUAGUGAGAUAGGAACCAGGCUCAGAGACUCCGGAGGGGAGGUGGCUCUGCAGAGAAGAUGGGCCUGGGGCUGGCUGGAAGUGGGCUGGAAGAGAAAGCACUUCAGGCAAAACAGUGAAAGUUUCUAAAACUUCUUGUUCUUGUGUAGAAGGUGCCAGGAAAGGGUUUUACUUAAAUGCUUCUUACUAAGCACGUCAUCUAACAUCUGAGUGUGUCCUCUGUACCAGGCGCAGUGCCAGUGCUUUGUGUGUGUCACCUCAUCGGGAACCUUACGACAUGAGUGGUGUCAUUACUCCCAUUUUACAGAUGAGGAAACAGGCUUUGAGUGGUUCUGGGAGCCAGUGGCAGAGCAGCAAGGGUGGGGCCAAGGCAGCGGACAGCAGAGCCAGGGCGCUCUCAGCCCUGUGCUGUCCUGAGCCGCUCACCACCCCUCCAAGAUUCCCUGGAGAUGAAAGCAAAGGAACACUUCUCUGGGUUCUAGGUCUAUGUUCUUGCCGCCCACAGGUUCUCUGGGGAGUGCCUGGAGAAAGGAGGAUAACACUUCUUUUUUCUUUUACUUUAGACAGUAGCUGACUUCUGAGAGCCGACGGACGCUGAGGAUCACGAAACCAAGGUUCAGAGGGUCAUGUAAACACCCAAGUCAAAGAGCGAAUUACGUGUUGGGGCUGCAGUUCAACACAGUUCCCAGAGCUCAAGCUGUGAUGAGGAAAGAGGGAAGUUGUGGUGCUGGAAGACCAUUCUUGCUCCUGGCCUCACUCCUGGAUGAGGCCGAGGCUUGUGUGCCGGCCUGAUGCUGCCUCUUCCCUCCAGCUCACCUUCCCAGCAACUCACCAGUCAGAUGGCCCAUCUCAAAGCAGAUGUGGGAGUCAGCAGCUCCUCUCUGCCUCCAGUCGGAGAAAGCACCGAGUGCCGGUCCCGAUGCCGGGGGAAGACGAGGCUUGCUACGGUGUGGAACGUGUAGCCCCACAGCAGAGAGUUUCUGCUGGUUUUUCACCUCAGCCUUCCACUGACUGUGCGCUCUUACUAUUCCUGGGCGGAGCCUCUAGUUGGGCUGUCAUGCUGGCCUCACCUUCCCGGAUCUC
Long non-coding RNA from Equus asinus (donkey), 1575 nucleotides. Lineage: Eukaryota; Metazoa; Chordata; Mammalia; Perissodactyla; Equidae. The record is from Ensembl.